UUAGCGGCGAACGGGUGUAGUAACACGUAAGGGAAUCUACCUAUAAGCGGGGGAUAACAUUCGGAAACGGGUGCUAAUACCGCAUAAUAUCUUCUUCCGCAUGGAAGAAGAUUGAAAGACGGCUCUGCUGUCACUUAUAGAUGACCUUGCGGUGCAUUAGUUAGUUGGUGGGGUAACGGCCUACCAAGACGAUGAUGCAUAGCCGACCUGAGAGGGUGAUCGG
This 223-nucleotide ribosomal RNA is filed under the name Aerococcus sp. RNAcentral's name for it is "partial 16S ribosomal RNA". It matches the Rfam family "Bacterial small subunit ribosomal RNA", at positions 92 to 307 of the family's 1533-position model. The record is from RNAcentral. Lineage: Bacteria; Bacillati; Bacillota; Bacilli; Lactobacillales; Aerococcaceae.